RNAcentral lists this non-coding RNA (29 nucleotides) under Mus musculus (house mouse). The record is from RNAcentral. Lineage: Eukaryota; Metazoa; Chordata; Mammalia; Rodentia; Muridae.
UAACAAAUAGCUUGGUGUUCCUUCCAGUU